GGAAGUGAUUGUGUGUGUAUAUAUAGUAAGUACAUGAGGUAGUGUUGUUAGAACCAGCAUUUGUUGACCAUCUCACAGCAGUCAGACAGAAGCCCAGUAUGAAGUUAACAAUUUCUCUCACAGCUUUCAUGGGAUUUUUCUGGGUCCUGCCCUCAGAGGUCUCUACAGGUGUGUGUGUGUAUAUCUGCCUGCCUACAUGAUUUUUCAACAUUUCCUAAUGUCUCUAACAUCAAUUGUUAUUGUCUAGAUAAUACACAGGUGCCAUCUCCCAGAAUUAUCCAGCCCAUAAGGUCCAGAAUAGGAGCUGUUCUAGGAAAGCGGUUGGUUAUUGAAUGUACGGCAGACCCAGGCCUUCCUGAUGAAUUUGCCCUUGUCUACUGGCUGGUCAACGGCACAUUCCCAAAUGUAGCCUCCACUGAUGGCAGAGUGUCAGAAACAGAAGAGUCAGUUUUAGAGGACGGCAGGGUGAUCCAGAGGAGUCUGGUGUUUAAGAGCGUGACUGCAGAGGACUUCAGGUCCACCUUUACCUGUGUGAUAAACAGCCCAGCUGGGCUUGACCAAAGGACUUUCACACUGGCCAAUCACAAGGCUCUAUUUCCCCCUCCUUCACCCACUCCCAAAACCGAGGAGAGAACAAUGAGAAAAGACACAGGAAAAGGGAUCACAGGAAAAAGGAUCACAGCAAAACACACUAGCAAGAAAUGAGAAGACGGAUGGACUUAGUCCACUCAUGUAUCAUCCAUAGUUAAGUGAAAAAGACAAUGAACACUUAUUGACAACAAUCCCUUCUAUUGCUGUAUCUCGUGGCAAUAGUCAAGUAUGGAUUAUAAUGCAAUAAUCUAGAGGAUUAAAAAAAACUGACUAAGAAAAGAUGGAUGAAAAAGAAUAUUCAAAUUGUGACCAUACACAUUUAUUUAAUGAACUGACUCUCAGAACUAUGUAACCUAGGUUAAAGACAAUUUAGUUCAAGGGAACUUCUCUUCAUCUACUGUUAUUCUUUCACAUCUCUGUUAGAAAUGGAUUAAGUUUUGUUUUAUAACAAAGCAACACCAUACAUGUCCUGGAAGUAGGCAGCCAUUGCAAAUAAGAUUGCAUCAUGUCAUUUGUGUAAACCUUGUAAACACAUCCCAAUCAUUGAUAAGUGUGUUUACAUUAGCUCACUAUUUAUGUAAAGCAUCAUAAUGACAAUGUUAUAUUUUGUGUAUAGUCAAUACAUGUGUAAUGGCCUAUAAAUAUACAUUUCAAUGGCUUAA
Molecule: long non-coding RNA, 1253 nt
Organism: Oncorhynchus tshawytscha (Chinook salmon)
Lineage: Eukaryota; Metazoa; Chordata; Actinopteri; Salmoniformes; Salmonidae
Source: Ensembl